Molecule: ribosomal RNA, 148 nt
Filed under: Eugenia cuprea
Lineage: Eukaryota; Viridiplantae; Streptophyta; Magnoliopsida; Myrtales; Myrtaceae
Description: 5.8S ribosomal RNA
Rfam family: 5.8S ribosomal RNA
About the family: 5.8S ribosomal RNA (5.8S rRNA) is a component of the large subunit of the eukaryotic ribosome.
Source: RNAcentral
CGACUCUCGGCAACGANUGCAUCGAUGAAGAACGCAGCGAACUGCGAUACUUGGUGUGAAUUGCAGAAUCCCGUGAACCAUCGAGUCUUUGAACGCAAGUUGCGCCCGAAUCCAUUUGGACGAGGGCACGUUUGCCUGGGUGUCACAC